Long non-coding RNA from Ctenopharyngodon idella (grass carp), 6885 nucleotides. RefSeq lists it as uncharacterized. The record is from RefSeq and is a predicted model, not a curated record. Lineage: Eukaryota; Metazoa; Chordata; Actinopteri; Cypriniformes; Xenocyprididae. The transcript has 4 exons.
AUGGCCGCCAUGUCACUGAGAUAUUUUCAGAAAGAGGGAAGAAUAAAAGAAAUUAACUCAAAUCAAACCAUAAAAUAUUUCAACAUGCAAAACAGAUCUGAUCUAUACAAAUUUGGUCUUGGACAUCGUAGCUUUACAAUUAUUAUUAACCAGAAAACUGAAAAGAGAAACGAACAAAGGAGGUACAGACUUCAGGUGUGCAGAGAUCAACCCUUAUAGGGUCUCUGAGGUCUUUUUAGACCCCAAACGAUGCUUGCUAAAAUUUAAAAUUAAAAAAAAAAAAAAAAAAAAAAAAAGUUCUCUUUGUCCAAAUUACAUGAAACUUUGUACAGUUGUUAACACUUUCUAGAUCUAGAAAUAAAAAGAAAUAAUAAUAAAUAAAAAAAAUUGGAGUGAUGUCUUGUUUUUAUGUUAGUGUAGAAAAAAGUAGUCACACUCAAAUGUAAUUUUGUAACAAAAUAAUUGUUUUUUAAAAAUACAAAUAUAAUUUUACUCGAUUUAUUAAUGUUUUUACUUCAUAUUUGUGCAGUUUUUGGAGGAUUUAUCAUAUCUUUUAAAUUUAUAUUAACAAAUAUUGAGUAGGUUUUUAUACAAAAACAGCUUUUUGUGUAAAAUUCACUUUAUAAAAGACCCACAUUUCUAACUUUCACUCAUGGGGAUAACAUGAAUAAUUUGACAUGGUUUAGUGUAAGAUUUUUGCCCAUCUUUUGGAAAAUGCAGUUUUAAAAGUAAAAAAUGAUCACUUUUACCAGUAGAUGCUGCAGAGCUCCACUAUGUGCUAUCUGACUGACUGAAAGACUUCUUUUCACAAGUAUUUUUCAGUUGGAUUCAUAUCUGAAUAUUAUGAAAUCACAAUUAUAACAAUAAAGCUACUUUUUGUCAAAGUUUAGUAUUUUUUUUUGUAAUGAAAAAAAUAAGUUUGUGACACUGUCACAUAAAAUAUGUGUUUUACCGCUCUAUUUAUUACAAUUAUUUUAUGUAUAAUAGAGUUUUAAUUGGUUUACAUGUUUUUAGUCCAUUUUAUUCCUCUUACUUAUUUUAAUGUAUGUCUUUAAAUGAGUCUGGGUCUGCCUGUCAUGUGACUGAUCACAUGACAGGAACCAGGAAGUAAGCCAGCAUAAAGGAGGCAGCAUGGCAAACAAUCAAUCCCUCAUUACAAACGUGAUCACCUGCUAUAGCUGGACUGUGGAGUUUAAUUUUAUGGACUUACCUUUCCAGCAAACCACUUUUCAUUGGAUUAACACUUCCGUGGACACUUUCACAUUGGGACUUACAUCACGCUAGGACUCUUAUGGACUGUUUUAGGGUAUGGUGCGAAUGGACUCCACACUUUUAAACAGCCUAUUAUUAGUUUUAUCGUGUUUUAAGUUCCUUGUGAAUAUUGUAAAUACACCUUAUUUAUUUCUGUUGUCUGUCUCAUCUUUUUAAACACUCAUAACAUCUCACACAGUAUAAUCUGACCACAAUCUUAAUCCAUGUAAAAUCGACCGAUAGGGCUGAUCGUUACAAGUUUUUCAAAAAUGUUGAUUUGAGGAUGAAUUUUGUCCAUUUUCUAAGUGGGGUCUCAUCAUAAUGUAACCAUUGAAAAACUGAUAUUUUUCCAUUACAAAAACAAAAAACACUAAAGUUAAAUAAUCAGACUUGGUCCGACUACGCCACCGGGGCUUUGAUACCCACGAACAUAAAACAGCAACACAAGUGAAUAAAUAACAGACGUGACCUUCAAGUACAACACUUUUAUUAACAAUCAGUACUGAAAUCUCUGAAUAAGCAGCACGUUUAUAACCAUCUAAAAAGGGAGGAUCACAAUUUUAAGAUGUCUAGACUUUAAGUAAAAUAUUAAAGUCAGAACCCCCAAUUCUUGAAUGUGAGGUCAACCAAGACCUGCGUGAAGUUGGCCCCCACCCAACGCAAAACGUCGGCAAAAUAGUCUCAAUCGUUUGUGUCGUAAAAAUGUUCGUUUGUGCUGCUUUGGUUUUUAAAAUAAGACAUUGAAUUAUAGGCAAUGACCUCACCAGCCUGAACGAAGAAUCAGAAAUAGCCUAUAGGCCAUUUUAAGUCUUCAAGUAAAAGGUUAAAGAAAUGUUUACUUUUAGCCUACUAACUUUACAUUUGUUUGUAAAAUAUUUAGCCAAAAACAAAAAAAGACUGAAUAAAAAACAUCGGACUCUUUUCUCUCAUAAUAUGUAAACACACACACACACAAAAAAAAAAAAAAAAAAAUUAUGAAUAAGUUUCAUAUUUGAAAGAAAUACGGAAUCAUCAUAGAAAACGGGCCUAUAGCUACUCCCGGUACUGUUGAAAGGUUUAUAUAAUAUUGUGUGUUUCCUGAAGGAUAACUGAUCAUGAUUACAUAAUUGAUGAUAAUUCUAUAUUUGUUUUUUCGUUUUGGUUUUGUAAAGAAAAUGAAAUAACAAUAUUGGAUGUUUAAUUGGGGUCCGUGUACCUGGUAGGCUGAUUUGAUUUUUUACCUAAAAAGAAAUAAAGAGUUUGUUUUUUCGUUGUGUAAGAAACGGAAAAUUAAAAAUCAAGCUAUAUUUUUCGUAAUUACAUUAAUGGGUAAAGAAAUGAUUAUUCUUAAAUAUAUGUUUCGCAUGAGUGGCGCCCUGAAACGCCGUUCAACUCAUGUCUUGCAUGUCCCAUCAUGCAGUUCAUCUGAUGUAGGCUACUGCUCUGCAUAUUAGUUACAUUUUUUUUUUUUUAAUUGGUCGUUUCAUAUAUUUCUUGCCACUGUAGCUACUUCUCUUGUCCGCGGAGGCGCCGGCGCGAUCCCUUCCACUGUUUCCUGAUAUUUUGGGUUUUUCCCAAUGAAACACAAAUUAUGUUAUUAUUUAUAAAAAUAAAUUAAAAAAAAUCUUCUUGUAAUAACGAGUGAAACAUGUUGGAUUACUAGGUUUUUCUUAGGCCUUUUAAGAAUAAAACACAAAUAAAUUCUCAAUGUUGUUUUAGACCACAUAAAUCUAAAAUGAGUAUUUUAGGAGACGCCCACACAUUCAAAACAUUUUAAAGCAUAAACUAAUUUAAGUUUUACCCAUAUAUAAGAAAAAAUAAAUAAACAGACAAAUAAUUUUAAGUAAAAUCAAAUUAAACGAAUGCCUUUGUUUUUUCGAUUUGGUUUAGUUAGACACUGAAAUAAGUCGUUUUUUUCUCGACAUUGGCUAAUUAAUGAAGGAAUUACACGGACUGACACUGAAAAUGAGGAAAGCAAACAGACUCAAUUUGAAAUCAUAUUGCUCCUACUAUUUCUGUUAAAUGUAUAGCUUUGGUAUAGCCUACUAUAAUAUGCUCGUAUGCGAUUUGCAUUUGCAGCCGUUCAGUGUCAUUCAGUUCACUGCAAUCAGUGUCUAAUAUUUAUAAACCGAGGCAGCACAAAUGAAACUUUUAUCGGCACAAACGAUUGCGACUGUUUGUGGUGAAUUUGGAGCAUGUGGGGGGCUGAGAGAGAUCAGAAUGAAUAGCCAAUUCUUUUAAUAUUUUAAAAACCGAAGCAGCACAAACAAUUUUACCGGCACAAACAAACGAGACUAUUUAGGGUAAAUUUGGAGCUGAGGGGAGCUGAGUGACGUCAUCGCCUAUAAUUCAAAGUCUAAUAUUUUAAAAUCGAAAGCAGCACAAACAAAACUUUUACCAGCACAAAUGAUUGAGACCGUUUUGCCGACGUUUUGCGUUGGGGCCAACUUCACACAGGUUCAACCAAGCCUGCGGGAAGAAGAGAGAAGAAGAAGUCACUAGGCCAAAGACCCACAGCCUCAAGAGCACACACCACACGUGCACAGAUGUACACAAACCAACACAUUUAAUAAAGGGUGUAGUGAAUACUGCAAAUAACUCUACACUCUCAAUACCCAUGCAGUGCUGGAACCUCACGCCACAUGGAGGAAAGACCCAGAUGACCCCAGAAGAAAGCAGGCUGGCUCCUAGAAGAUAGAAAGAUGGAUUAAACACUCCCAUUUUAUGCACACAUAUAGACCCUUAGCGGUUGGUACAAACAGGGCUCACUUAAAAUCAGUAAUUCAAAAGAAAAUAAUUUCAAAAACAAUCAAUAUAUAACAAUCAGCUUAAAACUUAUGUGAAACAAAUAAAUAAAUCUUAAGCAAAACAGCAGGGCCUAGACAAAGGUCCAUAUGCAUAGAACUCCACAAAGAAAGAUCUGUCAAACAGAAAAACAAAAAUAAAAGCACUUUUAUCAAUCUUUAACAAACUAAAUAAACAAUAUAAAAUCAACACAAAUAAAACACCUGUCACGGCGCAAAUCUGACAGUGUCGUGACCACUCAAAACACAAUCCUCUAAAUCACUCAAUAAUUACACAAAUAUUAUAACUAUAACACACCUAACCAUCUAAUGCAAACAUACCUCUGCCGUAAUCCAAGAGUGGACUAGAACCACUGCGUGAUACAGCUGGUUGCGAACACAGCGUCUAUCACCACCCAUGCGCUCAGUCUGACAUCAGGAGGGGUUCUCUCUACAAUAUAAAAUACACCAUAUUAAAAAAAAGCAAAACAUCCUUAUACAAGCUCUUACAACACCUAAAAUACCACGCUCAUACCUCGCUAUGGCGCUUCAGGGUCACAACACCGGAAGAAGACGGAAAAGAAUCAAACGUCAGGAAGUUACGCCGCCUGCCGACCUUUGCGCCAUUUAUAGGGCAAAAUAAACACAUAUGCCCCACCCCGUACACCAUCCUAAUUAUCCACUCGGUUACAUAUAUCAAUUGAUAUUAAAUGUGAAAUAGAAACACUGUAUCCGCAGACCCGUUAUUUGGCAGCCACUAAAUAAAUGGGAAGUGGGAUGAAAUUCUCGUUCCAAUUUCCCAUCCCUUUGACCUGAAGUUGGACCCAAAAGGCUAUAAAUGACCCCUGCUCCAACAAUCUUUGUCAUUCAUUUACAUCUUUCUGUACCUGUGUUCAUCUGCACCCACACAUCACCUCACACCCUCACCCAUUCAUUUGCACCACGGUUCUUGACACGUUCCGCACUUUUGUUUUGCUCUCUUUUGUCCGAUUUUGUGAUUUCUGCGAAAAUGGGAUUAGCUGAUUGCCCGCUUUGCCUCCGUGAAUACAGUCAAUCCUCCGAAAGCAGGUCGAUACGCUGAGCGAGGCGCUGGCACAGGUGACUCGCCGCUGUCUCCUGAUGAAGAGGAGGUCGCAGGGUGCCCCCUCCAGCCACAAGCGACCAGCCAGGCCGACCUCUGCCAGCACGUCGUCGCACCCCGCCACCCCUACGAAGACGGAAGAGGAGCCAGGGGCGAGGGACCGCUUCGGAGGGACUUAGACCAGCGAAGCAGCGGCGGAGGAUCUGCACAAGAAGCGGUUCCCUUGGUCCAGCUGCCCCCACUAAAGUCGCUAAAGCUGCCGAACCCGGCCAGGAACGGCAACGGAAGCAGACCAAGUUCUUUUAAAUUUGUGUCCCACCCUGUUCCAUUCUGGUGUUCUGUUGUUCUUUGUUCAAUGUGUUAAUAAAUGUUUGAAAAGUUCCUACUGUCAUGUCUUUUUUGGCUGUAAUACAAAUUGCAUAAAUACAGUGUCCGCAGACCCAUUAUUUGGCGGCCACUAAAUUAAAUGAUAUCUGGGAUGUCUUUGUGUUUUCGGCUCCCGUUCGUACCAGACUUGAAAGUUAUUGGAAUGCAUCCGACUGAGUGCGCCAAGUACAGUACAGAUGGUUUAAUCUAUAAAAAUUGACGGCUUUUCCCUGGUCUUCCUCUUUCAAUAUCAGAAAGCACGGCUCUUCCACUAAACGCUUGAAGACUUUUGGUUGUUGUGCAGCACAGAGGUCUUCUGUGAUCCGUGGCUCCUUCAUGAGAGAAGGGUACAAACUAAUGGGAUGAAAUGUUGGAAGUGUAUUUAAAUACUUUGUGUUGUAGUCAGGAUGCAGCACAGCAUGUAUAAUAAAGUUUUGACAUUCUGUUUUUCUCAUGUUUAUAUAAAUCAUACCCUAUCACUAAUGAAAUUAAUCAAUUAUGUUCAGUUUUAAUUUAAAAAAAAAAAAAAAAAAAAAAAAGGCAAGCAAUUCACAUGGCUUUUCAUGCUGCACUUAACCCCACACUCUAAACCCGGAUUUUGUGUUAAUGAAACAAAGUGGUCAUUACUUAUUCUUUGUUGUUUUUGAAAAAGCAUUGUCAUUAAUAAAUCAAAUUAGUUGUUUGCACUAAUCAGAUUGGAAGCACUGAUCAUGUUAGCUGUGAUAACUCGGAAUGUCACGCUUUUGUGAGGGAGGGAGGGGCCUGUUGAAGCAGGUGACUGACGGUGAGCAGAGCGCGCUGUUUGAGGAGUCUGCUCGCUAAACAUGGAUUUAUGAAAGAAACUUUAUACAGUCCAUAAGCCUGUCCUGCUCUUUUUACAGAAGAUCAGGUGUUUAUGAAGUUCAACAGGAUUGUGGGAACCUCAAGCAGGAAUUCUAUGAAAGCAUUGAUCGACAGUCUUCAUCUGAUUGAUAUCUUUCGAUCUAAGAGAGGGAAUGUUGGACAGCUGUUGACACCGCUUUCACAACAAACCAGGAUUAGUCCGACUCCAUUAUACACUUGCAUUGUUGCAUUGUUCUUUUUUUAUUUUUUUUUUUACAGUAAUGAAAACAUGUCACAAUAAGUGAUGCUAUAUUGGUUGUCCAAUACAAUCAAAAUUGUGCUUCUUUGGUUCAGCUUUCUUGUAGAUCAUUUCUUGUUAUUCUAGCUAUGUAACUUUUUUAUUUUACUACCCAAUAGACUCGAGAGCCAACUGAUAUUACGUCACUGGUGCUCAGAGGGCUCCCGAUUGUCCUUGGUGACAACCCCACGAACUUCUUCAAAGCAUGCUUUGUAAGUAACUCAUUUUCUCAAAGGACAUUGACAACAUAAUCCUUUUAUUAACUGAUAGUCCUUGUGUUUGAUAGUCCUUGUGUCCGUGAACUA